AGUGAACGCUGGCGGCAGGCCUAACACAUGCAAGUCGAGCGGCAGCGCGGGGGCAACCCUGGCGGCGAGCGGCGGACGGGUGAGGAAUUCGUCGGAAUCUGCCUUUUUGUGGGGGAUAACGUAGGGAAACUUACGCUAAUACCGCAUACGUCCUACGGGAGAAAGUGGGGGACCGCAAGGCCUCACGCAGAAAGAUGAGCCGACGACCGAUUAGCUAGUUGGUGGGGUAAAGGCCCACCAAGGCGACGAUCGGUAGCUGGUCUGAGAGGAUGAUCAGCCACACUGGGACUGAGACACGGCCCAGACUCCUACGGGAGGCAGCAGUGGGGAAUUUUGGACAAUGGGCGCAAGCCUGAUCCAGCCAUGCCGCGUGUGUGAAGAAGGCCUUCGGGUUGUAAAGCACUUUUGUCCGGAAAGAAAUCCCUGGAGCUAAUACCUUCGGGGGAUGACGGUACCGGAAGAAUAAGCACCGGCUAACUUCGUG
Molecule: ribosomal RNA, 484 nt
Filed under: uncultured bacterium
Lineage: Bacteria
Description: partial 16S ribosomal RNA
Rfam family: Bacterial small subunit ribosomal RNA
Source: RNAcentral